RNAcentral lists this unclassified non-coding RNA (205 nucleotides) under Hevea brasiliensis (rubber tree). The record is from RNAcentral. Lineage: Eukaryota; Viridiplantae; Streptophyta; Magnoliopsida; Malpighiales; Euphorbiaceae.
GGUGGAGGCACAUUAACAGGAUGCCGCCAUUGGCUCAUCUGCAAGACUCGAAUAAAAAGCAGUGGGUGGACUCCAAGCAUGCUCGAGGGGACGGUAACUCCCAUGGUCUUCAUGGUCUUCUUAGUAGCAUAACUGAAGUAAAAUGUAUUGGGGAAAGUCUGGAGACCUGAAUUCAGCUUUAGGGCGCCUUGUAUUGUAAGGUCAG